GACAGCUCAGUUGGUAGAGCAUGAGACUUCUAAUCUCAGAGUCGUUGGUUCUAGCCCCACAUUGGGUGAAAUA
RNAcentral lists this transfer RNA (73 nucleotides) under Podarcis lilfordi (Lilford's wall lizard). RNAcentral's name for it is "tRNA.Arg". The stretch from base 4 to 60 matches the Rfam family "tRNA", at positions 9 to 63 of the family's 71-position model. From Rfam's summary of the family: Transfer RNA (tRNA) molecules are approximately 80 nucleotides in length. Their secondary structure includes four short double-helical elements and three loops (D, anti-codon, and T loops). Further hydrogen bonds mediate the characteristic L-shaped molecular structure. tRNAs have two regions of fundamental functional importance: the anti-codon, which is responsible for specific mRNA codon recognition, and the 3' end, to which the tRNAs corresponding amino acid is attached (by aminoacyl-tRNA synthetases). tRNAs cope with the degeneracy of the genetic code in two manners: having more than one tRNA (with a specific anti-codon) for a particular amino acid; and 'wobble' base-pairing, i.e. permitting non-standard base-pairing at the 3rd anti-codon position. Lineage: Eukaryota; Metazoa; Chordata; Lepidosauria; Squamata; Lacertidae. The record is from RNAcentral.